GUAAAACUAUAUACCCCAGUCCACCAUACCAAAAAUCCAAUAACUCAUCUCACAAAGGGCAAGAAAAAUGUUUUAGAAAAACAUGUUCCUUUUAGCAUGACAAAAUCCCAAAUAUUUAGAUUGGCAACAAAGGCAAGUUUCUUAGAUGUCACGUUCACAGCUCAAUAACUCAAAAUCCUUUUAGUCGUGUUAAAUGCAACAAUAAAGCAUCCAUCCAGUAAACCAGACUAAAGGAGAUCUAUUCCAAUAGAAUUGGAUAGCAAUUUUUAACCGUUAUAAAUA
RNAcentral lists this unclassified non-coding RNA (282 nucleotides) under Hevea brasiliensis (rubber tree). The record is from RNAcentral. Lineage: Eukaryota; Viridiplantae; Streptophyta; Magnoliopsida; Malpighiales; Euphorbiaceae.